CCGGGUUGCGGACAGUGUCUGGUGGGUAGUUUGACUGGGGCGGUCUCCUCCUAAAGAGUAACGGAGGAGCACGAAGGUUGGCUAAUCCUGGUCGGACAUCAGGAGGUUAGUGCAAUGGCAUAAGCCAGCUUGACUGCGAGCGUGACGGCGCGAGCAGGUGCGAAAGCAGGUCAUAGUGAUCCGGUGGUUCUGAAUGGAAGGGCCAUCGCUCAACGGAUAAAAGGUACUCCGGGGAUAACAGGCUGAUACCGCCCAAGAGUUCAUAUCGACGGCGGUGUUUGGCACCUCGAUGUCGGCUCAUCACAUCCUGGGGCUGAAGUAGGUCCCAAGGGUAUGGCUGUUCGCCAUUUAAAGUGGUACGCGAGCUGGGUUUAGAACGUCGUGAGACAGUUCGGUCCCUAUCUGCCGUGGGCGCUGGAGAACUGAGGGGGGCUGCUCCUAGUACGAGAGGACCGGAGUGGACGCAUCACUGGUGUUCGGGUUGUCAUGCCAAUGGCACUGCCCGGUAGCUAAAUGCGGAAGAGAUAAGUGCUGAAAGCAUCUAAGCACGAAACUUGCCCCGAGAUGAGUUCUCCCUGAGACUUAGAGUCUCCUGAAGGAACGUUGAAGACGACGACGUUGAUAGGCCGGGUGUGUAAGCGCAGCGAUGCGUUGAGCUAACCGGUACUAAUGAACCGUGAGGCUUAACCUUACAACGCCG
RNAcentral lists this ribosomal RNA (700 nucleotides) under Salmonella enterica subsp. enterica serovar Enteritidis. Its description in RNAcentral is "partial 23S ribosomal RNA". It matches the Rfam family "Bacterial large subunit ribosomal RNA", at positions 2240 to 2925 of the family's 2925-position model. Lineage: Bacteria; Pseudomonadati; Pseudomonadota; Gammaproteobacteria; Enterobacterales; Enterobacteriaceae. The record is from RNAcentral.